UACGUAGGGGGCAAGCGUUGUCCGGAUUUAUUGGGCGUAAAGAGCGUGUAGGCGGCUUGGCAAGUCCGCUGUGAAAACUUGAGGCUUAACCUCGAGACGUCGGUGGAAACUGCCUAGCUAGAGUCCGGAAGAGGAGAGUGGAAUUCCUGGUGUAGCGGUGAAAUGCGCAGAUAUCAGGAAGAACACCCGUGGCUAAGGCGGCUCUCUAGUACGGUACUGACGCUGAGACGCGAAAGCGUGGGGAGCGAACAGG
RNAcentral lists this ribosomal RNA (253 nucleotides) under uncultured bacterium. Its description in RNAcentral is "partial 16S ribosomal RNA". It matches the Rfam family "Bacterial small subunit ribosomal RNA", at positions 524 to 776 of the family's 1533-position model. The record is from RNAcentral.